This 2919-nucleotide ribosomal RNA is filed under the name Salmonella enterica subsp. enterica serovar Dublin. RNAcentral describes it as "bacterial LSU rRNA". It matches the Rfam family "Bacterial large subunit ribosomal RNA". The record is from RNAcentral. Lineage: Bacteria; Pseudomonadati; Pseudomonadota; Gammaproteobacteria; Enterobacterales; Enterobacteriaceae.
GGGUUGUGAGGUUAAGCGACUAAGCGUACACGGUGGAUGCCCUGGCAGUCAGAGGCGAUGAAGGGCGUGCUAAUCUGCGAUAAGCGCCGGUAAGGUGAUAUGAACCGUUAUAACCGGCGAUACCCGAAUGGGGAAACCCAGUGUGAUUCGUCACACUAUCAUUAACUGAAUCCAUAGGUUAAUGAGGCGAACCGGGGGAACUGAAACAUCUAAGUACCCCGAGGAAAAGAAAUCAACCGAGAUUCCCCCAGUAGCGGCGAGCGAACGGGGAGGAGCCCAGAGCCUGAAUCAGCAUGUGUGUUAGUGGAAGCGUCUGGAAAGGCGCGCGAUACAGGGUGACAGCCCCGUACACAAAAGCGCAUGUGCUGUGAGCUCGAUGAGUAGGGCGGGACACGUGGUAUCCUGUCUGAAUAUGGGGGGACCAUCCUCCAAGGCUAAAUACUCCUGACUGACCGAUAGUGAACCAGUACCGUGAGGGAAAGGCGAAAAGAACCCCGGCGAGGGGAGUGAAAAAGAACCUGAAACCGUGUACGUACAAGCAGUGGGAGCACAGGUUUACCUGUGUGACUGCGUACCUUUUGUAUAAUGGGUCAGCGACUUAUAUUCUGUAGCAAGGUUAACCGAAUAGGGGAGCCGGAGGGAAACCGAGUCUUAAUUGGGCGUUAAGUUGCAGGGUAUAGACCCGAAACCCGGUGAUCUAGCCAUGGGCAGGUUGAAGGUUGGGUAACACUAACUGGAGGACCGAACCGACUAAUGUUGAAAAAUUAGCGGAUGACCUGUGGCUGGGGGUGAAAGGCCAAUCAAACCGGGAGAUAGCUGGUUCUCCCCGAAAGCUAUUUAGGUAGCGCCUCGUGAAUUCAUCUCCGGGGGUAGAGCACUGUUUCGGCUAGGGGGCCAUCCCGGCUUACCAACCCGAUGCAAACUGCGAAUACCGGAGAAUGUUAUCACGGGAGACACACGGCGGGUGCUAACGUCCGUCGUGAAGAGGGAAACAACCCAGACCGCCAGCUAAGGUCCCAAAGUCAUGGUUAAGUGGGAAACGAUGUGGGAAGGCCCAGACAGCCAGGAUGUUGGCUUAGAAGCAGCCAUCAUUUAAAGAAAGCGUAAUAGCUCACUGGUCGAGUCGGCCUGCGCGGAAGAUGUAACGGGGCUAAACCAUGCACCGAAGCUGCGGCAGCGANNGUUGGGUAGGGGAGCGUUCUGUAAGCCUGUGAAGGUGUGUCGUGAGGCAUGCUGGAGGUAUCAGAAGUGCGAAUGCUGACAUAAGUAACGAUAAAGCGGGUGAAAAGCCCGCUCGCCGGAAGACCAAGGGUUCCUGUCCAACGUUAAUCGGGGCAGGGUGAGUCGACCCCUAAGGCGAGGCCGAAAGGCGUAGUCGAUGGGAAACGGGUUAAUAUUCCCGUACUUGGUGUUACUGCGAAGGGGGGACGGAGAAGGCUAUGUUGGCCGGGCGACGGUUGUCCCGGUUUAAGCGUGUAGGUGUGUGUUCCAGGUAAAUCCGGUUCACUUUAACACUGAGGCGUGAUGACGAGGCACUACGGUGCUGAAGUAACAAAUGCCCUGCUUCCAGGAAAAGCCUCUAAGCAUCAGGUAACAUCAAAUCGUACCCCAAACCGACACAGGUGGUCAGGUAGAGAAUACCAAGGCGCUUGAGAGAACUCGGGUGAAGGAACUAGGCAAAAUGGUGCCGUAACUUCGGGAGAAGGCACGCUGACACGUAGGUGAAGUGAUUUACUCAUGGAGCUGAAGUCAGUCGAAGAUACCAGCUGGCUGCAACUGUUUAUUAAAAACACAGCACUGUGCAAACACGAAAGUGGACGUAUACGGUGUGACGCCUGCCCGGUGCCGGAAGGUUAAUUGAUGGGGUCAGCGCAAGCGAAGCUCCUGAUCGAAGCCCCGGUAAACGGCGGCCGUAACUAUAACGGUCCUAAGGUAGCGAAAUUCCUUGUCGGGUAAGUUCCGACCUGCACGAAUGGCGUAAUGAUGGCCAGGCUGUCUCCACCCGAGACUCAGUGAAAUUGAACUCGCUGUGAAGAUGCAGUGUACCCGCGGCAAGACGGAAAGACCCCGUGAACCUUUACUAUAGCUUGACACUGAACAUUGAGCCUUGAUGUGUAGGAUAGGUGGGAGGCUUUGAAGUGUGGACGCCAGUCUGCAUGGAGCCGACCUUGAAAUACCACCCUUUAAUGUUUGAUGUUCUAACGUGGACCCGUUACCCGGGUUGCGGACAGUGUCUGGUGGGUAGUUUGACUGGGGCGGUCUCCUCCUAAAGAGUAACGGAGGAGCACGAAGGUUGGCUAAUCCUGGUCGGACAUCAGGAGGUUAGUGCAAUGGCAUAAGCCAGCUUGACUGCGAGCGUGACGGCGCGAGCAGGUGCGAAAGCAGGUCAUAGUGAUCCGGUGGUUCUGAAUGGAAGGGCCAUCGCUCAACGGAUAAAAGGUACUCCGGGGAUAACAGGCUGAUACCGCCCAAGAGUUCAUAUCGACGGCGGUGUUUGGCACCUCGAUGUCGGCUCAUCACAUCCUGGGGCUGAAGUAGGUCCCAAGGGUAUGGCUGUUCGCCAUUUAAAGUGGUACGCGAGCUGGGUUUAGAACGUCGUGAGACAGUUCGGUCCCUAUCUGCCGUGGGCGCUGGAGAACUGAGGGGGGCUGCUCCUAGUACGAGAGGACCGGAGUGGACGCAUCACUGGUGUUCGGGUUGUCAUGCCAAUGGCACUGCCCGGUAGCUAAAUGCGGAAGAGAUAAGUGCUGAAAGCAUCUAAGCACGAAACUUGCCCCGAGAUGAGUUCUCCCUGAGACUUAAAGUCUCCUGAAGGAACGUUGAAGACGACGACGUUGAUAGGCCGGGUGUGUAAGCGCAGCGAUGCGUUGAGCUAACCGGUACUAAUGAACCGUGAGGCUUAACCCUACAACGCCGAAG